UACAGAGGGUGCGAGCGUUAAUCGGAGUGACUGGGCGUAAAGGGCACGUAGGCGGUUAUGUUAGUCUGAUGUGAAAGACCUGGGCUUAACCUGGGAUGUGCAUUGGAGACGGGAUAGCUAGAGUGUGGGAGAGGGAAGUGGAAUUUCCGGUGUAGCGGUGAAAUGCGUAGAGAUCGGAAAGAACACUGGUGGCGAAGGCGGCUUUCUGGCCCACAACUGACGCUGAGGUGCGAAAGCGUGGGGAGCAAACAGG
This 253-nucleotide ribosomal RNA is filed under the name uncultured bacterium. RNAcentral describes it as "partial 16S ribosomal RNA". It matches the Rfam family "Bacterial small subunit ribosomal RNA", at positions 524 to 776 of the family's 1533-position model. The record is from RNAcentral.